CCUACGGGUGACAGCAGUGGGGAAUAUUGCACAAUGGGGGAAACCCUGAUGCAGCGACGCCGCGUGAGUGAAGAAGUAUUUCGGUACGUAAAGCUCUAUCAGCAGGGACGAAAAUGACGGUACCUGACUAAGAAGCCCCGGCUAACUACGUGCCAGCAGCCGCGGUAAUACGUAGGGGGCAAGCGUUAUCCGGAUUUACUGGGUGUAAAGGGAGCGUAGACGGCAGCGCAAGUCUGGAGUGAAAUCCCAUGGCUUAACCAUGGAACUGCUUUGGAAACUGUGCAGCUAGAGUGCAGGAGAGGUAAGCGGAAUGCCUAGUGUAGCGGUGAAAUGCGUAGAUAUUAGGAGGAACACCAGUGGCGAAGGCGGCUUACUGGACUGUAACUGACGUUGAGGCUCGAAAGCGUGGGGAGCAAACAGGAUUAGAUACCCGGGUAGUC
This 440-nucleotide ribosomal RNA is filed under the name uncultured bacterium. Its description in RNAcentral is "partial 16S ribosomal RNA". It matches the Rfam family "Bacterial small subunit ribosomal RNA", at positions 338 to 795 of the family's 1533-position model. The record is from RNAcentral.